AACGAACGCUGGCGGCAUGCCUAACACAUGCAAGUCGAACGAGACCUUCGGGUCUAGUGGCGCACGGGUGCGUAACGCGUGGGAACCUGCCCUUAGGUUCGGAAUAACUCCCCGAAAGGGGUGCUAAUACCGGAUAAUGUCUUCGGACCAAAGAUUUAUCGCCUUUGGAUGGGCCCGCGUUGGAUUAGCUAGUUGGUAGGGUAAAAGCCUACCAAGGCGACGAUCCAUAGCUGGUCUGAGAGGAUGAUCAGCCACACUGGGACUGAGACACGGCCCAGACUCCUACGGGAGGCAGCAGUGGGGAAUAUUGGACAAUGGGCGAAAGCCUGGUCCAGCAAUGCCGCGUGAGUGAUGAAGGCCUUAGGGUUGUAAAGCUCUUUUACCCGGGAUGAUAAUGACAGUACCGGGAGAAUAAGCUCCGGCUAACUCCGUGC
This 434-nucleotide ribosomal RNA is filed under the name uncultured bacterium. RNAcentral's name for it is "partial 16S ribosomal RNA". It matches the Rfam family "Bacterial small subunit ribosomal RNA", at positions 29 to 508 of the family's 1533-position model. The record is from RNAcentral.